GACAGGCUGUGUAGGACAUUGUUUGCCUCCCACUAUACACCAUUCAUUGACCAUGAACUGACUACCAGUAAAAGCUUUCCAUCACCUUAGGAAGACUGUUAAAUGUUACUAUUUACUACUUUCUUUCUUUACUUUCUUUCUUUCUUCCAGCUCUGCCCCUUCCUCUGCCUUUUAAGGUUAUCUCAGAUGCUACGUGCCGUCUGAUAAAGGUUAAGGAGCCUUUUAGCUGGCAGCACCUUCAGUAUCCAGCUUGUUUGGCAUCUCACAGCCUCCAAGAGUACACAGUGAUGAUGGCAGCUGAUGGUGAAGAUACACUCCACAAAGCUGACUGCAGCAAUGACCCCAACCCAUUAGCUAUUUUAGCGAAACUAUUCAAGACUUGCCCUGCAUGAAAUAGCUGUGUGUAACUAUGUUUAAUAGGCCUACAGUAUGUGUCAAGGCGGUUGUCAUGCCUGCACAUUAUGUAUUCCAUAAUACCAGUGACAGAUCCCUGAGAGUCUGAGCCAAGGCUGUGAUAUCUACAAUAGCGCACUGGCUGUGUGGAUUAAGCUCAGAUGGGCAAUAAACCAAGCAAGGGGAGUGGAAAGAGACCGAGGGAGAGGCAGCGUCAGAAAGAAGCAGAGAGCAAUAAAACCUCCAAAAAGCAGCGAUUAGCUAAAGCGCCUUAACCUAACUGGUUUCAUUAGGAAGACACAACAGAAAAUGAGAGGUGUCAUACUACAGCUGAGGAUGCUAGCAUUGCUACAGGAGAAACAGCAGGCAGACUCACACAUAUGGAACAAGAUCAUUUCCUUUUGUGUGUCCUGCCUUUUCAUGCAAACGUUCCCAUGAAGUCCCCCGUAUUGACAACAUGCUGGACCGUCCUGUCUCCUGGUAUGUUUAAAAGCCCUGGACUUUCUGUAGAUGCUAUCUUUUCAAUCUAUUACCACACACAGUGUGAGAAAUUAAACCAUGCCAAGACAUUAA
Molecule: long non-coding RNA, 966 nt
Organism: Betta splendens (Siamese fighting fish)
Lineage: Eukaryota; Metazoa; Chordata; Actinopteri; Anabantiformes; Osphronemidae
Exons: 2
Source: RefSeq, a predicted model, not a curated record